CCCAAACUUAUUACAGAACAUAAGUUCGAAAAUAAGUUUGGAGGGAUGAUGAUAUGUGUGUCACUACUCACAGAAAAACAUGUUCCAUGGUGGUGGUAUGAACAAAGCGCGAGUUCCCUCAUCUUCCAAGCUCAACACUGCACUAAAACCUCAAACAAAACAACAAAACAAAAAGAAACAAAACGAAACUAAAAGAAAGAAAAACAAAACAAAAACGGUUGGGUUACCUCCCAACAAGUGCUUAAUUUAACGUCUAGAGCUCGACGAUACCUCAAAAACUCAUGGAGGUCGGAAACAGCACUCUAACCAUUGGAAAGCUUUUCUACUCUUGGGUGCCCUCUCCACAAAAACACUUCUCUUGGCUCGAACAUCCUCCACA
Molecule: long non-coding RNA, 379 nt
Filed under: Salvia miltiorrhiza (redroot sage)
Lineage: Eukaryota; Viridiplantae; Streptophyta; Magnoliopsida; Lamiales; Lamiaceae
Description: long non-coding RNA (SMIL_LNC014199)
Source: RNAcentral